This 46-nucleotide ribosomal RNA is filed under the name Flavobacterium anhuiense. The record is from RNAcentral. Lineage: Bacteria; Pseudomonadati; Bacteroidota; Flavobacteriia; Flavobacteriales; Flavobacteriaceae.
CGCAGAUGGUACUGCAGUCAUGUGGGAGAGUAUGUCGUCGCCUUUC